RNAcentral lists this unclassified non-coding RNA (375 nucleotides) under uncultured Bryobacterales bacterium. Its description in RNAcentral is "contains 16S-23S intergenic spacer region". The record is from RNAcentral. Lineage: Bacteria; Pseudomonadati; Acidobacteriota; Terriglobia; Bryobacterales.
UCCAGCUUAUCGCUGGCGGUCUCCUGAGAGUGCCCCUUGCGGGUGGCAACACAGGACGAGGGUUGCGCUCGUUGCGGGACUUAACCCAACAUCUCACGACACGAGCUGACGACAGCCAUGCAGCACCUCGACUGGACGCCCUUGCGGGCUAGCAGUGUUUCCACCGCCGUUGACCAGCCGUUCGAGCCCAGGUAAGGUUCUUCGCGUUGCGUCGAAUUGAACCACAUGCUCCACCGCUUGUGCGGGCCCCCGUCAAUUCCUUUGAGUUUCAGCCUUGCGACUGUACUCCCCAGGCGGCAUACUUAACGCGUUAGCUCCGGCACGGACCGACUGAACGGCCCACACCAAGUAUGCAUCGUUUAGGGCGUGGACUAC